RNAcentral lists this ribosomal RNA (259 nucleotides) under uncultured Sneathia sp. RNAcentral's name for it is "partial 16S ribosomal RNA". It matches the Rfam family "Bacterial small subunit ribosomal RNA", at positions 96 to 354 of the family's 1533-position model. Lineage: Bacteria; Fusobacteriati; Fusobacteriota; Fusobacteriia; Fusobacteriales; Leptotrichiaceae. The record is from RNAcentral.
UGGCGGACGGGUGAGUAACGUGUAAAGAACUUACCAUAUAGACUGGGAUAACAGAGGGAAACUUCUGAUAAUACUGGAUAAGUUAGUAUAUCGCAUGAUAUGCAAAUGAAAGCUACGGCACUAAAGGAGAGCUUUGCGUCCUAUUAGCUAGUUGGUGGGGUAAAAGCCUACCAAGGCGAUGAUAGGUAGCCGGCCUGAGAGGGUGGACGGCCACAAGGGGACUGAGAUACGGCCCUUACUCCUACGGGAGGCAGCAGGG